RNAcentral lists this signal recognition particle RNA (148 nucleotides) under Homo sapiens (human). RNAcentral's name for it is "Metazoan signal recognition particle RNA". It matches the Rfam family "Metazoan signal recognition particle RNA". From Rfam's summary of the family: The signal recognition particle (SRP) is a universally conserved ribonucleoprotein. Lineage: Eukaryota; Metazoa; Chordata; Mammalia; Primates; Hominidae. The record is from Rfam by way of RNAcentral.
GCCGGGCGUGGUGGUGCACGCCUGUAAUCCCAGCUAUUCAGGAGGCUGAGGCAGGAGAAUUGCUUGAACCCAGGAGGCGGAGGUUGCAGUGAGCUGAGAUCAUGCCACUGCACUCCAGCCUGGGUAACAGAGCGAGACUCUGUCUCAG